RNAcentral lists this ribosomal RNA (118 nucleotides) under Nicotiana attenuata. Lineage: Eukaryota; Viridiplantae; Streptophyta; Magnoliopsida; Solanales; Solanaceae. The record is from RNAcentral.
GGAUGCGAUCAUACAAUCACUAACGCAUCGGAACCCAUCAGAACUCCGAAGUUAAGCGUGCUUGGGCGAGAGUAGUACUUGAUGGGUGACCCCCUCGGAAGUCCUUGUGUUGCAUCCC